GACGAACGCUGGCGGCGUGCUUAACACAUGCAAGUCGAACGCUGAAGCUCAGCUUUUGUUGGGUGGAUGAGUGGCGAACGGGUGAGUAACACGUGAGUAACCUGCCUCCUUCUUUGGGAUAACGCCCGGAAACGGGUGCUAAUACUGGAUAUUCACUGGUCUUCGCAUGGGGGUUGGUGGAAAGGGUUUUUCUGGUGGGGGGUGGGCUCGCGGCCUAUCAGCUUGUUGGUGGGGUGAUGGCCUACCAAGGCUUUGACGGGUAGCCGGCGUGAGAGGGUGACCGGUCACAGUGGGACUGGGAUACGGCCCAGACUACUACGGGAGGCAGCAGUGGGGAAUAUUGCACAAUGGGCGCAAGCCUGAUGCAGCGACGCCGCGUGAGGGAUGGAGGCCUUCGGGUUGUGAACCUCUUUCGCUCAUGGUCAAGCCGCAACAAUGGUUGUGGUGAGGGUAGUGGGUAAAGAAGCGCCGGCUAACUACGUG
Molecule: ribosomal RNA, 483 nt
Filed under: uncultured bacterium
Lineage: Bacteria
Description: partial 16S ribosomal RNA
Rfam family: Bacterial small subunit ribosomal RNA
Source: RNAcentral